ACCCUUUUAAAAGCACUCAGUGGUCCUUCCACUAUGGAACCCCUGAGCCACCAAUCAAAGGCAAAGUGAAGACAUUGUUUUUGGGUGAAGCAGCAGCGUGUUGUGUUUAGCUCCAAUCGAUGCUAUCAUGGGG
Small nucleolar RNA from Suncus etruscus (white-toothed pygmy shrew), 133 nucleotides. The record is from RefSeq and is a predicted model, not a curated record. Lineage: Eukaryota; Metazoa; Chordata; Mammalia; Eulipotyphla; Soricidae.